This 253-nucleotide unclassified non-coding RNA is filed under the name uncultured Kofleriaceae bacterium. Its description in RNAcentral is "contains 16S-23S intergenic spacer region". It matches the Rfam family "Bacterial small subunit ribosomal RNA", at positions 524 to 776 of the family's 1533-position model. Lineage: Bacteria; Pseudomonadati; Myxococcota; Haliangiales; Kofleriaceae. The record is from RNAcentral.
UACGAAGGGUGCAAACGUUGCUCGGAAUUAUUGGGCGUGAAGCGCACGUAGGCGGCUUUGCAAGUCGGAUGUGAAAGCCUUCGGCUCAACCAAGGAAGUGCAUCCGAAACUGCAGAGCUUGAGUACGAAAGAGGAUCGCGGAAUUCCCGGUGUAGAGGUGAAAUUCGUAGAUAUCGGGAGGAACACCAGUGGCGAAGGCGGCGAUCUGGGUCGAUACUGACGCUGAGGUGCGAAAGCGUGGGGAGCAAACAGG